RNAcentral lists this long non-coding RNA (214 nucleotides) under Mytilus galloprovincialis (Mediterranean mussel). Lineage: Eukaryota; Metazoa; Mollusca; Bivalvia; Mytilida; Mytilidae. The record is from RNAcentral.
GUGACCACUUGAAAAAAAAGUUCAAAUUUUUUGUAAUGUUGAAUUCUCUCUUAUUAUAAGUAAUAGGAUAACUAUAUUUGAUAUGUGCGUACCUUGCAAGGUCCUUAUGUCUGUCAGACAGUUUUCACUUGACCUCGACCUCAUUUCAUGGAUCAGUGAACAAGGUUAAGUUUUGGUGGUCAAGUCCAUAUCUCAAAUACUAUAAGCAAUAGGG